Molecule: unclassified non-coding RNA, 253 nt
Filed under: Hevea brasiliensis (rubber tree)
Lineage: Eukaryota; Viridiplantae; Streptophyta; Magnoliopsida; Malpighiales; Euphorbiaceae
Source: RNAcentral
CAAAAUACUUGCCCAAUAUGGGAAUAGAUAAGCUGAGCCAUGUGCAUGCGUAAAUACAAAAGGGUGAGUGUGUGUUUGUUCACAUGUUGAUUUACACAUAAAUGGACGUGCAUUUUGUAGAAUAGCACAAACAAAUGCAAGAUCACAUGCAUCCAAAGAUGAGCAACAAACUUUUUCAUCAACAACAAAGUUCAUUAAACACAAACAAGGGGCAGAUUGCAGACCUAUCCAUCCAUGGCGUGCUUGCAGCAAU